AACUCGUGAUGUGGACAGAUAUUUAUCAGAUCCUUGAACCUCUCCCAAUAAGGUUGAAAAGUAUCAUCACCCUUCUGCAUAAACUGAAUGAUCUGCUCCUGCAGGU
Malania oleifera is the source of this 106-nucleotide small nucleolar RNA. The record is from RefSeq and is a predicted model, not a curated record. Lineage: Eukaryota; Viridiplantae; Streptophyta; Magnoliopsida; Santalales; Ximeniaceae.